UGGGAUUCAGGGUGUGUGGUCCUGCCCAAGGUUGGUCCCGCCCUGAGCUCCAGCCCAGGGGCCCGGCUCCUAUCAGGGGGAAGCGGGGUCACCCCAUAUCUGUGUCUGCCCCACAACUCUGCUCUGAACCAACUUCCUCUGGGCAGCCUGCUACCGUGGAGAUGCUAGUCUCCAGGCCUGAGAUCCGGGCAUGGCACCUAGGAGUCUGCAUUUCAUAAGCUCCCUAGCUGAUCCCAAGAGGCCUGAGGGACUGCUUUAGAUAAACUGCUUGAGAAUUCCCAGCACUUACAGUUGUCUGAUUCCACUUCAUCCUUAUCAGGGCCCAGCAAAAUAAACACUAUGAAGCCCCCUUUUAAAGCAGUUUUUUUGAACCAUGAUUUUAUAUAACACAAAUUCUAGCUGUUACAGGUCUAUCUCAGAAUUGCUAUCAAGAUCCUACCGGGUCUGCAGUUCCUGCACGUGUGGCGUUGGCAUCCGGCGUGCUGGGAAAGCAGUGAGUCUUCUGUCUCGUCCGUCCGUCGUCCACCCACCCACCUGUCUGUCCAUCUCUGCAUCAUCCUUCAGGCAGGCAGAUGCACCCGUAUCGCCUUCUGUUACAGAUGCACCCGUAUUGCCGUCUAUCACUCUGUCCAUCGAUCCAUCUAUGGAUCGUGAAUGUAGACAAAUGUGUUGCUGUUUUCUUUAUUGGAGCUGGGUUUUUACUCACAGCUGGAAGGCCUUUCUCUGCAUGCUGCUUACAGAAGGAUUCACCUGUGUUUGCUUCUGGUAUUUGUAUAUCGAAGCUUCAUACUUCAGGAGCUCUGAUCUUGUGAGUUUAUUCUUCUGCCUGGUGUGAGAAAUGGAUCUAAUUUUAUCUUUUUCCAAACAAUGAUCUACUCGCCUGGCAUCAUGUUACUUGACGGAUCAUGACUGCCGCGGGGAACUGAGAUGCAUCGUUCAUCACACGCUGGACUCCGCUGCCGCGGUCUGGCUCCGUGGCUCUGCGGCUCCGCAGCUCUCCCGUGUCAUCAGCCCUCUGUCUCCA
Molecule: long non-coding RNA, 1024 nt
Organism: Bubalus bubalis (water buffalo)
Lineage: Eukaryota; Metazoa; Chordata; Mammalia; Artiodactyla; Bovidae
Exons: 4
Source: RefSeq, a predicted model, not a curated record